UGGGGAAUCUUGGACAAUGGGCGCAAGCCUGAUCCAGCGACGCCGCGUGGGUGACGAAGGCCUUCGGGUUGUAAAGCCCUUUCACCGGGGACGAUGAUGACGGUACCCGGAGAAGAAGCACCGGCUAACUCCGUGCCAGCAGCCGCGGUAAGACGGAGGGUGCUAGCGUUGUUCGGAAUCACUGGGCGUAAAGGGCGCGUAGGCGGCGGCAAAAGUCGGGUGUGAAAGCCCGGGGCUCAACCCCGGAAUUGCACUCGAAACUGCGUUGCUGGAGGUCGGAAGAGGAGAGUGGAAUACCCAGUGUAGAGGUGAAAUUCGUAGAUAUUGGGUGGAACACCAGUGGCGAAAGCGGCUCUCUGGUCCGAACCUGACGCUGAGGCGCGAAAGCGUGGGGAGCAAACAGGAUUAGAUACCCGUGUAGUCC
Molecule: ribosomal RNA, 424 nt
Filed under: uncultured prokaryote
Description: bacterial SSU rRNA
Rfam family: Bacterial small subunit ribosomal RNA
Source: RNAcentral